GACGAACGCUGGCGGCGUGCUUAACACAUGCCAGUCGAACGGAAAGGCCCUGCUUUUGUGGGGUGCUCGAGUGGCGAACGGGUGAGUAACACGUGAGUAACCUGCCCUUGACUUUGGGAUAACUUCAGGAAACUGGGGCUAAUACCGGAUAGGAGCUCCUGCUGCAUGGUGGGGGUUGGAAAGUUUCGGCGGUUGGGGAUGGACUCACGGCUUAUCAGCUUGUUGGUGGGGUAGUGGCUUACCAAGGCUUUGACGGGUAGCCGGCCUGAGAGGGUGACCGGCCACAUUGGGACUGAGAUACGGCCCAGACUCCCACGGGAGGCAGCAGUGGGGAAUAUUGCACAAUGGGCGGAAGCCUGAUGCAGCAACGCCGCGUGCGGGAUGACGGCCUUCGGGUUGUAAACCGCUUUCGCCUGUGACGAAGCGUGAGUGACGGUAAUGGGUAAAGAAGCACCGGCUAACUACGUG
RNAcentral lists this ribosomal RNA (468 nucleotides) under uncultured bacterium. RNAcentral describes it as "partial 16S ribosomal RNA". It matches the Rfam family "Bacterial small subunit ribosomal RNA", at positions 28 to 507 of the family's 1533-position model. The record is from RNAcentral.